GACGAACGCUGGCGGCGUGCCUAAUACAUGCAAGUCGAACGCUUCUUUUUCACCGAACUUCGGUUCAUCGAAAAAGAGGAGUGGCGAACGGGUGAGUAACACGUGGGUAACCUGCCCAUCAGAAGGGGAUAACACUUGGAAACAGGUGCUAAUACCGUAUAAUGCUUUUUCUCGCAUGAGAGCAAGCUGAAAGGCGCUUUUGCGUCACUGAUGGAUGGACCCGCGGUGCAUUAGCUAGUUGGUGAGGUAACGGCUCACCAAGGCCACGAUGCAUAGCCGACCUGAGAGGGUGAUCGGCCACACUGGGACUGAGACACGGCCCAGACUCCUACGGGAGGCAGCAGUAGGGAAUCUUCGGCAAUGGACGAAAGUCUGACCGAGCAACGCCGCGUGAGUGAAGAAGGUUUUCGGAUCGUAAAACUCUGUUGUUAGAGAAGAACAAGGAUGAGAGUAAAAUGUCAUCCCCUG
This 468-nucleotide ribosomal RNA is filed under the name Enterococcus sp. oral taxon A43. Its description in RNAcentral is "bacterial SSU rRNA". It matches the Rfam family "Bacterial small subunit ribosomal RNA", at positions 28 to 471 of the family's 1533-position model. The record is from RNAcentral. Lineage: Bacteria; Bacillati; Bacillota; Bacilli; Lactobacillales; Enterococcaceae.